This 329-nucleotide ribosomal RNA is filed under the name Elasmucha bovilla. RNAcentral's name for it is "partial 12S rRNA". The record is from RNAcentral. Lineage: Eukaryota; Metazoa; Arthropoda; Insecta; Hemiptera; Acanthosomatidae.
UUUCAUUGGUAUUAAUAGUUAAGAUCUUUAAAUUAAAAGAAUUUGACGGUAAUUUAUCAUUUCAGAGGAGCCUGUCCUAUAAUCGAUAUUCCACGUUAAAUUUUACCUUAAUUUUUUGCUUAUAUACCUCUGUUGUUGGAGUGUUUUAUUAGAAUUUAUUCUCUUGAAUUAUUUUAUAAUUUAUAUCAGGUCAAGGUUUAGCUAUAUUAAGGUUGAGAUGGGCUACAUUUAAUUUUAUUAUUGGAUUUUUGUAUUUAUUUAUAUUCUUGAAAUUGGAUUUGACUGUAAUUUUUAUUAUAUAUUAUUUAUGAUACUUGUUCUAGAUUAAG